AUUGGUGCAUCAGGUUUUAGACACUAGUAUUUCGUGUGAUGCUAUUGUUGGAGUGCUUGACUUUUUGUUAUGAAAAUGUGAGAAUAUUUUGGUUAGAUUUUUAUGGUCAUAAUGAUGUUGGAUUGGUGAAUUGGAUCAUGUUUGUUUUGUUUGGACUGUGAGAUUUGAUCAAAUUUGGAGGUUGCUGGCAUAUCUGUUCUCCUA
This 204-nucleotide long non-coding RNA is filed under the name Elaeis guineensis (African oil palm). Its description in RNAcentral is "long non-coding RNA (EGUI_LNC030037)". The record is from RNAcentral. Lineage: Eukaryota; Viridiplantae; Streptophyta; Magnoliopsida; Arecales; Arecaceae.